UACUCCCACUUUCGCGCCAACUACUCCUACCUAAAAUACAAAUUGAUUAUUACAUAAGCAAUAUUCUUUACUUAAUUAUACAUGUGCAGAGCUGAAGAUACACGUUUAUAUACCCCAUUUCCGCCAACCGUCAUCGUCUUCUGUACCACCACGAUGACGCCGCCAAUUACUUUCCAUAAGAGAACUACCACUAGCCCCACGACUUAAUUCUUUUCUAGGACUAGUAGAACCAUUCCAUUCACCUGGAUCUGAGGCUCCAUUUCUUUCUGACCAACCACGUUCACUUUGCGACCUAUCAAAUGGGCGAUUUCUUCCCUAGAUAUCAAAAUACAUUCACUGAUCAAUUAAAGAAUAAUUCUUCUUUUAUUGAAAAUAAAAAAUUUUCAACCUUCUGGAUAUCAUAUUACUUAAUGACAGAAACAUAUUUUGCCUGCAAGAAUGAAACAAACUACAUACUUGAAAUGGUUGACUGUCAAUUCGAGAUCCAUCUCCUGAAUCAUCGAAACCAACGCCACGGGAAUAAUGAGAAGAAUACAAGCUACCUCUUCCACUUCUUCCUCGUCCUCCACGAUCUACACUUCCACCUCUUCCUCGACCGCCAUUAGUUAUUCCUCCGUUCCACAUCCGCUAAAAAAUUGUAUGAUAAUCAAAUGAAUAUAUUUUUAAUUUACCAAAUAAUUUAAUAUUUAAUAUUAAUAUCUAAGAAAUGUAUAUACUAUAUAUAUGUCAAUAAAUGAGAGAUAACAUUUUAAUUUGUAAUGGAUACAAAAUUGAAAGAAGAUAUAAUAUAGAAUGAUAAUAAA
RNAcentral lists this unclassified non-coding RNA (803 nucleotides) under Bombus terrestris (buff-tailed bumblebee). RNAcentral describes it as "misc RNA ENSBTSG00005025881.1". Lineage: Eukaryota; Metazoa; Arthropoda; Insecta; Hymenoptera; Apidae. The record is from RNAcentral.